CAAAAGUUCAAAAAUUGCAAAUCAUAACCAACUGCUCACUUCACUCGGACCAAAAAAAGCUUUUUAACGGCCCCCCUUUCUUUCGACCUUUUUUCUUUUAGCUGCUCCUCUUCUUUCAACUACACCAUUUUUUUUUUGUUUUUGGUUUUGCCUUUCUAUCACGACGUUACAUAUUAAAAACUGUGUCAUGUUUUAUAUAUAUAUAUAUAUAAGCAAACACUUGGUUCCUUUUAAUUAAAGAGAAGAGAAGAUGAUUGUGGCAGUUGGUGAUAAAGUGAGGAUAGUAGUAAGGGAAUUCGACGGCAAGAAAGAUUGUAGGGAAGUGGAAGAGGUAGAGAGAAGUUGUGAAGUUGGGCCCACCGGCAAACUCUCUCUUUUCACUGACCUUCUAGGUGACCCUAUUUCCAGAGUUCGCCAUUCUCCUGCCUUUCUCAUGCUGGUAUACAAUAUGAAUUUCAUUACUAUUGAACUGCACUCAUUGACCAUUGUAUGUCAUAGUUUAAUUCUUGAUUAUCUCAUUUACAUUGAUGAUCAGGUAGCAGAGAUGGUGGUAAGUAAUGUUGGAGAAGAAAAAGGAGAAAUAGUAGGGAUGAUAAGGGGCUGUAUCAAAACCGUUACAUGUGGAAAGAGAGUCUGCAGGAACAAUCACGAUUUCACCAAACUACCUCAUCAACACCUCCCUGUUUUCACUAAUAUUGCCUAUAUUUUAGGCCUUCGUGUCUCUCCUUUUCACCGGUAACUACAUUUCUAUCGUCUAAUUAAUAGUAAUACGUAUAUUUCUCAUCAUCAAGUUUGUUCUGCUUUUUGUUUUAAUUUACAAAAGACCAAUUAUUGUUUAGUAUUUGCCGAAAUCAGACACAUUCUAACUUGUCCUGUUUUCUUUAUAUAUAAUAUAAUAGUAGUUGACUCUCCACUUAUUGUUUAGUACUAGUAUAUAGUUACAGAGUCAACUACUAUUAUUUACUAUUUAUUUUUUGUUUUUAACAACCCAGCGGUGGUAUGGUAGUGCAUAUGCAAACCUUACUUCUACCCUGAGAUAGAGAGGUUGUUUCCGAUACACCCUUGGCGUCCCUCCUUCCAAGAAUUCUCCACCUUACUCUUGGGAUAACUCAAACUCACAAUCUCUUGGUAGUGAGUUCUCGGAGGGAGGGAUGCCGAGGGUCUAUCGGAAACAGCCUCUCUAACUCAGGGUAGAGAUAAGGUAUGUGUACACACUACUCUCCUCAUACCCCACUGGUGGAAUUAUACUGGUUUGUUAAAAAAAAUAGUAGUUGACUCUCUAACUAUAUACUAAUAUUAUAAAGUUGUUUAUAGCAUCAUAAAUUCUUAUGAGUAUUUAAGUAAUACAUUAGUAUUACCUAUGUAAAGUAAUUUUAUAUACAAUUUAACAUGUUGCACAAGUAUUUGAGCAUCGGUGCACUCAUAAAAAUGUACCUGAAGUUAUUUUUAUGAAUAAUUGGAUUAUAUAAAUAUUUUUAUCGUUAGUCUAUAAAAAUUAUACUCAACCAAAAUUAACAAAUCCUAUGUCAUUUUAAUCAGGAGAAAGGGCAUUGGGUUGAAAUUGGUGCGCAAGAUGGAGGAAUGGUUCAGGGAAAAUGGUGCUGAAUAUUCAUACAUAGCUACUGAAAACGAUAACCAUGCUUCUGUAAAACUCUUCACACACAAAUGUGGCUACACCAAGUUCCGUACCCCAUCCAUUCUAGUGCAGCCAGUUUUUGCACACAAAGUCAAGAUAUCAAGAAAUGUCGCUAUAAUUAAGCUCAGCCCAGUUGAAGCUGAAACUCUAUAUCGCCAUAAAUUCUCCACCACAGAAUUUUUCCCUAAAGACAUUGAUUCAAUCCUCAACAAUAAACUCAAUUUGGGUACUUUUCUAGCAAUUCCAAAGGGUAAUUUUUCAUGUUGGAAUGGUGUGAAUGAGUUUUUAACGAGUCAGCCCGAGUCAUGGGCUGUACUCAGUGUGUGGAACUGUAAGGACGUGUUCAAACUCGAGGUGCGAGGCGCAUCCAGAAUUACAAGGGGCUUAGCUAAGACGAGUCGUUUAAUGGACCGGGCUUUUCCAUGGCUUAAGGUUCCGUCAGUGCCGGAAGUUUUCAGGCCCUUUGGGCUUCAUUUUUUAUAUGGGCUUGGUGGUGAAGGCCCAUUAUCUGUGAAGUUAAUUAAGGCCCUUUGUGAUUUUGCCCAUAACUUAGCUGGAGAAUCGCGGUGUGGGGUGGUGGUGACAGAAGUAGCAAGUUGCGAACCGCUUAAGUUAGGAAUUCCUCACUGGAAAAGGCUAUCUUGCGCCGAGGACUUAUGGUGCAUCAAAAGAUUAGGGGAAGACUAUAGUGACGGGUCUGUGGGUGAUUGGACUAAAUCAAAGCCUGGUCUUUCUAUUUUUGUUGAUCCCAGGGAAUUUUAACUUUUAAUUGACAAUAUCUUGUGUUUUUUAUUAGGGAAUCUAAUUUAGAUGUCAAUUUUUCCUUUUCUGGAUUAACUUUAUGUGAUUGCAGAAUUAGAGGAGAAUAAGGAAAAUAUGGUUGUACAACUCUUUUUUAUUGUCGUUGAUGUAAAGGGGGAAUUGAAAUAUCCCUUUUGUUUUAUGUAAAUGGAUCAUGUAUGUGACCUUUCUUUACAUCCCCUCUUUCAUAUUCAUAAUAAUAUGGUGGAUUUUUGUUAUAUUGGGAUUCUAUCUCUUGACUUUGCAUAUCCUUAUUUUUAAAGGAUAAGACCGUAAAUGAUUGAAAGAUUUAUUUCUCAAUCAAUUUCUCAGAAUAUAGUCCUAGAAAUCAAUUUUUUUUUUAUUUGAGAAUAAGAAAAAAUGAAUAAGAAAGGAGCUUGAGUCCUGUAUAGUAAUAGCAUAACAAAUCUCUCGUAUUCAUGUCAUUUAUAAGGUAGUUACAAUUUCAUAUUCAUGUCACUUAUUUAUAAAGUAUUUACAAAUACAUUGUUGAUUAUAAUACAUUAAAUUACAGAGUUCGUUGUUCAGAUAGUCACUCAACUUUCCGAAAUUAUCUACCAAAGUCAUUUUUUCACUUAACUAUGUCUAUAGCACUUGAAGGUCACUCAACCAGAUUUAUCAAACUUUUGAUCGCCAAAUACUUAUUUUACCCUCUAAAUUAUUACUACUUUUAUCUUCUAUUUCUUUUUUAUUUUUUUGAUUUUUCAAUAUUAUGAUUUUUUUCUCUUUUUAAUCAACAUUAUGGACUUACCUAUAAAACAAAAUUAUUUUAUUUAAAAAUAAAAAUAAAAAAUUAUUUUUCUAGCAUAUAUAAUGUCUAUGCUUAAAUAAUUUUUAAUUUUUAAAAUUUAUAAAUAAAAUUUAUUUAUUCUAAGAUAAGUCCAUAAUAUAAAUUAAAAAGAGAAAAAUUAUUAUAUUAAAAAGCUAAAAAGAAUUAUAAAAAAAAAAAAGAUAAAAGUUGAUAAUUUAAAGGGUAAAAUAGGAUUUGGCUAAAAAUUUAAGAAAUCUAGUUGAGUGAUCUUCUGAAUGCUAUUGACAUAAUUAAGUGACUUUGUUGUUACAAACGAAAGAAAAAUGAUAUAUUGGUAGAUAAUUUCGGAUAAUUGAGUGAUCACAUGAGUAAUAACUCUUAAAUUACAGUGAUCAUGUUAAAGAUGUCGGCUGCGUCGUGAUGAUAUUUUUCAUAGUGGCAAACCAGGGGCGACAUUUAUCACUUUAAUAUGUGGUGUGGGGCUUCUUCUAAUUAAAAAAAAAAACAAAAAACUGGGAGAUCUUAGAGUAUUAAUUAACUAUUAAGAAUGAGUUGGGAAUUGGGAUGUCUAUGAAGUCAUUCAUGCCGGUACUACUUUUUGCUUUGGUUGUCUUAUUUUAGUUCUUUUCUUAUUCAAAUUAUGGUAAUUUCUCUUAAAGCACAAUAACUCUUUGCUGAGGAUUGCUUUGUUUCUUUUUGUCAAAACUUUAAAAUGAAAAGGGAGAGGGAUACUUGUUCUGCUACGUGCUAAUUUGCUAUAGCAAAUGAAAGAUAGUGAUUAGAGAUCUUUUGGAGUUCCAAUAUAAUCAUUCCACCUGCAAAUUUGGAUAAUGAAUAAGCACUGGUUUCCACUAAUUUAUUUGUGGUGGUCUCCACUAAUAUUUUUGGAAAACAACUCUUCUGUAAAUUGCAAUUUAAUGUUACACUACCAAGAUUUCUUAUAGUCUAGUAUAAAUCGUAUGAGAGUCUUUCAUUUUCACAAUAACUGUGAGUUGGAUUUUAUUGUUCCACUUCCCACUUCCCACUUCCCACUUCCCGCCCCCUUUUCUUUUGCCCAUAAACUAGAAAAAGUUAAAGAAAAAAACAUAGUGAUGUUACAAUCUAUAAUAAUUGGAUGGUGGAGAACUGAAUUAUUGUACAACUUUUUUUUAUCCUUAAUUUUUUUGCCAUGAUAUAGAUAUAUUUAGAGACACGUGUAAUUGAAGCUUCGAUGGUAAGCAUCAUCUACUUCCAACCAAGAGGUUGUAAGUUCGAGUCAUCCCAAGAGCAAGUUGGGGAGUUCUUGAAGAGAAGGAUGCCGAAGGUCUAUCGGAAACAGCAUCUCUACCCAGGGUAGGGGUAAAGUCUGCGUACACACUACCUUCCUCAUACCACUAGUGGGUUUAUACUGGGUUGUUGUUGUUGCUGUGAUGUAAUUGAAGCUUUAUAGCUUGUUUGGCCAAGUUUCUUCCUAGUCCAAAAGUGUUUUUUUUCAAAAAAAAAAACGAGGUAUUUGACCAAGCUUUUUUGGGGGUGAGUGCUCUUGGGAAGAAGUAGAAACACUUUUUGAGAAGCAAAGAAAAAUAACGUCUUCCCAGAAGCACAAACAGUUUUGACUUUUCUUCUUACCAAAAAUACUCUUAGCAAAAUGUAGUAUAUUCCAAAAUAAUCUUACUUGUUCUAAACCUAUAGCCUGUUUGGCCAAGCGUUUUGUUGGGCCAAAAGUGUUUUUUUGGCCAAAAGCACUUUUGGCAAAAAAUUGAGGUGUUUGGCCAAGCUUUUGGAAGGAAAAAAGUGUUUUUGAGGAGAAACAGAAGCAGUUUUUUAGAAGGAGAAAAAAGUAGCUUCUCUCCAAAAGCACUUUUCUGAGAAGCACUUUUGAGAAAAAUACACUUAGAAGCAGUUUUCAAAAGCUUGGUCAAACAAUAAUUACUGCUCAAAAGUGAUUUUCAAAUUAAUUAGCCAAACACAAACUGCUUCUCAUCAAUAGUAAUUUUUUAAAAAGUAUUUUUGAGAAAAACACUUCUCAAAAUAAGCUGAUAUUAGAAGCUUGGUCAAACAGGCUACUAAUACUUAGGAUAUUGAUCUAUAAAUAUUUUCCUUAUUUUUUAGGAUAUCUUUCUAAUAUAUAGUGACUUCUAGAGUGAAUGUUUAUAUAUUUAUUAAAUAAUUUUUUGAUAGAUUUAAAUCAUCUUGAAAGAAUUAAAAUAUUUUUUAAUUUUAUUUUCAUAUUUUACUUAAAUAAAAUAAAAAAAUUAAUUAUUAUCUUUAAUAAUAAAUAUUUGAAAUUAUUUAUUUUCUUAUAUAGUAUUAACUAGUACUUAUUAAGUAAAUCUCUUUGUGUCCUAAUUCGUAAUUUGAUAUUUAAAAUGAAUUUUUGAAAAGCUUGGCCAGAUACAAAUUAUUACUCAAAAGUGUCUUUCAGAUUGAUUAGCCAAAUCCAAAUUGUUUCUCUCUAAAAGUACUUUUUCAAAAAAUAUUUUUGAAAAAAACACUCAUCAAAAUAAGCUAAAUUUUCCAGCUUGACCAAACAGGAUUUGUUUCCUAUGGCAGGAAAUUUUGAUCCAUUAUAGUCAAUGACAUGUCCUCUUGGUCUGCAUAAUAGCAAUGGAGGGACAUUACUGUAUGGGUCAAAAUCUUACCACAAUAGUCAAUCAAGUUGAGACCUCGCCUAAGUGGAGAAAUGGCAAGAAUCACCACGACCAACCUCAGUCCAAUCAUCGACAAUGUAUGUCAAGUAAAAACGGUACUCGAAUAACGACGAAAAGGCCGUCACGUGAGAGUACAUCGAUCAACGAACACAGUAAAGUUUCGAGAACUAUAUAUAGAAGGAGGACUUUUCCUCUCAAGGGGGCUCGGACAAUUUCCUCCUCCGAAGGAUGUAAACUGAUAUUUCUCUCUUCCUAUCAAAGAUAGGAUUGUAACAUCAAGAAAUCUAGAAUGUUCCUUUUUUUUUUAUUUCAUUAUCUCGCUAUACAUUUUUAGAUCUGAAGUUGAUUAUGAUUGGCUAAGAUUUUCCUCUUCUCAUUAUUAAUUUGUUUAGUCAAAAGGUUCAACACUUUUUGGUCAAACAAUUUGGCGCCGUCUGUUGGGAUUUCUUAGCCAAAUUUCCUAGUCUCCUUCAGGUCCGAAACCGGUGAAACAUAAUCACCCACCAGAAAGAAUGGUAAGUAAACCUCACGUGCUAAUCUAGAUCAUUAUGCAACAUGAAAGCAAAAGUCACAAUCAAUAUCUACGCAAAGCUCACAAGAGGAGACGGUACCUGCUGCGCAAUCCUAUAGAAAAUUGGACACAUCUUGCCCUACUCUGACAUCCCCAUCCCACACACCGGAUGGCCCACGAGCAAGAUAAGGCAAACCCAACCCACGCGGAGCCAGGGCAUCCAAAAAAAGGGAGAAAAGAGAGUUGAAUACGGCUGCUGAAUCUACAAACCACCAUUCCAUCAACCACUUAAACGCCAGGCAGAGUGAACAACGCUAUAAGGCUACCCUCGUUCAUCGACUCAUCGGAUCGAGGUAAGGAAAAUCUCAUCUUGGUUUACCUUCUGUUGUUUGCUUAAACAUGAAUACAAGUGACACAUGGACAAGCGAGCAAAGAAGCAUUCCAACUGGAGAGUGGAAGAACUAUUACAAAAUAACUUGAAUAUCGCCCAUCUCAGAAAUUUCAACUCCUGGAAAAUGACGUCCCCUAAAUCGUACUCCUUCUCAUCACCCAAGUGUUGUCCCGAUUGGGUUCUCUCGGGAAGGUUUUGAAAUAGGCAAUGAGGUAGACGUCACCAAGUUCAAAGGAUAGUUCAUCGCCCUGCCUAUCGGCGAGCUCUCCAGGUCAAACGAUGAAGGGGUUAAACAGGGAAGUUCCAAUAUAUGCAUAAAACGAACAUUAGCAAGAUAGCAACGUUCUAUACUCUCCGACAUCACACUCUCCAAUACAGACAAAAUUAAGCAAAAUGGGACUCACCCAGGAAACACAAAAGUUAAGCAAAACUGGGACUCCCCCAGAUAACACCCAAAACUCUCCAAAAAACUGGGAAUCACGAUGGGUUAACAUUUCGACGACAGCUCGAAAUAACACCCUUCGGGCCAAAGACCAUCGCCAAAAAAAAAGAGUUCGACCUCGCUCAAAUUAUAAUGGGUUAACAUUUCGACGACAACUCGAAAUAAUACUCCUACGGCCAAGGACCAUCGCCAAAAAAGAAGAGUUCGACCUCGCUCGAAUUAUAAUGGUUAACAUUUCGAUGAUAGCUCGAUAUAACACCCCUACGGCCAAAGGCCAUCGCCAAAAAAAAAAAGAGUUCGACCACACUCGAAUUGCAAUAGGUUAACAUUUCAACGACGACUCGAAAUAACACCCCUACGGCCAAGGGCCAUCGCNNNNNNNNNNNNNNNNNNNNNNNNNNNNNNNNNNNNNNNNNNNNNNNNNNNNNNNNNNNNNNNNNNNNNNNNNNNNNNNNNNNNNNNNNNNNNNNNNNNNNNNNNNNNNNNNNNNNNNNNNNNNNNNNNNNNNNNNNNNNNNNNNNNNNNNNNNNNNNNNNNNNNNNNNNNNNNNNNNNNNNNNNNNNNNNNNNNNNNNNNNNNNNNNNNNNNNNNNNNNNNNNNNNNNNNNNNNNNNNNNNNNNNNNNNNNNNNNNNNNNNNNNNNNNNNNNNNNNNNNNNNNNNNNNNNNNNNNNNNNNNNNNNNNNNNNNNNNNNNNNNNNNNNNNNNNNNNNNNNNNNNNNNNNNNNNNNNNNNNNNNNNNNNNNNNNNNNNNNNNNNNNNNNNNNNNNNNNNNNNNNNNNNNNNNNNNNNNNNNNNNNNNNNNNNNNNNNNNNNNNNNNNNNNNNNNNNNNNNNNNNNNNNNNNNNNNNNNNNNNNNNNNNNNNNNNNNNNNNNNNNNNNNNNNNNNNNNNNNNNNNNNNNNNNNNNNNNNNNNNNNNNNNNNNNNNNNNNNNNNNNNNNNNNNNNNNNNNNNNNNNNNNNNNNNNNNNNNNNNNNNNNNNNNNNNNNNNNNNNNNNNNNNNNNNNNNNNNNNNNNNNNNNNNNNNNNNNNNNNNNNNNNNNNNNNNNNNNNNNNNNNNNNNNNNNNNNNNNNNNNNNNNNNNNNNNNNNNNNNNNNNNNNNNNNNNNNNNNNNNNNNNNNNNNNNNNNNNNNNNNNNNNNNNNNNNNNNNNNNNNNNNNNNAAAGAAGAGUUCGACCUCGCUCAAAUUAUAAAGGUUUAACAUUUCGACAACUGCUCGAAAUAACACCCAUACGACCAAGGGUCAUCACCAAAAAAGGAGAGUUCGACCUCGCUCGAAUGAUAAUAGGUUAACAUUUUGAUGACAACUCAAAAUAACACCCCUACGGCCAAGGGCCAUCGCCAAAAAAAAAAAGAGUUCGACCUUGCUCGAAUUGCAAUGGGUUAAUAUUUCGACGACAGCUCGAAAUAACACCCCUACGGCCAAGGGCCAUCGCCAAAAUAGAAGAGUUCGAUCUCGCUCGAAUUGCAAUGGUUUAACAUCUCGACGACAUCUCGAAAUAACACCCCUACGGCUAAGGGCCAUCGCCAAAAAAGAAGAGUUUGACUACGCUUGAAUUAUAAUGGGUUAACAUUUUGAUGGCAUCUCGAAAUAACACCCCCUACGGCCAAGGGCCAUAAAAAAAGAAUAGUUCGACCUCGCGCGAAUUGUAAUGGGUUAACAUUUCGACGACAGCUCGAAAUAACACCGCUAAGGCCAAGGGCCAUCGCCAAAAAAAAAGAUUUCGACCUCGAUCAAAUUGCAAUGGGUUAAUAUUUCGACGACAGCUCGAAAUAACACCCCUACGGCCUAGGGCCGUCACCAAAAAAGAAGAGUUCAACCUCGCUCGAAUUGCAAUAGGUUAACAUUUCAACUAGCUCGUAAUAACACCCCUACGGUCAAGGGCCGUUGCCAAAAAAGAAGAGUUCGACCUCACUCGAAUUAUACGGGUUAACAUUUCAAUACUAGCUCAAAACAAUAUCCCUACGGCAAAGGGCCAUCGCAAAAGGAAAAUUUCAAACUCAUUCGAGCCCAAUAAUGCCUUUGCAGCUAUCUACUGUCAUCGUGCUUUUUUGCUUCUAAUUAUUAAAAAACUGAUUUCGCUACAAACUCCAAGUUCUACCUCGCUCGGAUGUGUAAAAAAAAAGAGAAGCGACUUCUCCCGAAUCAACGAUAGUUUGAUCCCACAUGACUCAAGUCAAGACUAACUUCGUCCAGAACAACAAAAUUAUAUAAACUCAUUUGAGUCAAAGAUGAAUCUGCUUAAAGCAAUAAGUCACCAGUCGAUUCCACCCCAAACAAGAGAAUCAAAUGAGACUCCAUCCGGACUCACGAUGAAGUCCUACUCAGUCUGGUUAAAAUUGGUUUCCCUGAAAAAUCAGGAAUCCACCAUAUGAAGAUCCGACAAUUUACGCCAAAGAUAUGUAAAGCAAAAGAGUGAGAGAUACAAAGGAUUUACAACGAUGAAAACUCCUUUAUUUAAACAGUUGCGCAAAAUGGCCGCAGAUUAUACACGGCUAAAACCGAUCCAGUACAAAAUAAAUAAAAAAAGAAGAAGGCAACAACACAAACAACGACAAACAAGAAAAGACAACAAAGAACAAAUAUUUUACUCGGCGCCAUCACUGUCGUCCUCCUAAUCUCCAUCUCCAUGAAACUCCCCCUCAGCAUCAACAUCCUCACAGGCCUCCGGUGUCGCGGGACCAUAACCACAGUUAACACGAGCCUAUUGUGCCUUCGCCCGAGCUCUUUCAUAGUGGCCUCGAAAACAUUGCUCACUUCCCACAAACUCUUAUAUAUGUCCCGCUGGGCUUCGGCAUGAACUAAGACUUCGUGCAAAUGACGAGGAACAGCGGUGGAGGUGGAUUCAACUUGGGCCAACAAUUGUGCCUUUUCGGCCUCAAGAACAGCGACCCAAUCUCCCAAAGUUGAAGCUUCCCGGUCAAUGUUGCCAAUACGCUCUUCGAGCCUCGCCUCCCUGAGCGUAGUCGUCGCCCUCUCAGACUCCAACUCGGAUUGAAGGACACAGAUAGCAUCCUCUAAAGCCGCCGGUCUGGCCGAAGACGACGCCCAGGCACUCUCGACACUCUCCAAUUCGGAGACCUUUCUCUCCAGCUCGGCUAAUUUCCCCAUCCACUUGGCACUCAAAGCCUCGACUCUGAUGGCAUUAAGAUCCAACUCGGACUGCAACGACCGCACCUUCGUCUGAAGAUGCUCGCACUCUACGGCGACCCCUUUGCGCAAUUCAAGUUUUCGUCCUUUACACGAAGUUGCUCCUCGAGCUCGCUAUUCCUGCAAAUAGCUUGCAUCAGCUCCUGAUCCCUCUUCUCCAGUUCCUCACCAAGAGAUCGAUCACCGGCAUUCGCCCUCAGCCGUUCAUGCAUCUCACGGCACUUGUUGCGGUAGUGCCGGUACUUCUCCAACAUCAUUAGAAAAAUUUUGGCUCGAGUGUCAGCCCUGCGAGCACUUUCAAUCUCCACCAUAUACCUCUGGAAGACGAAAAGAGUUGGUAAAGGUCAAGGCCGCCAAAGAUAAAAAGAAUGCAAAAAGAAAGAGGAAAAACUUACCCUCAGGCCUAUAGCAGCCACUUCAUGCAUCAAAUCGACUUCAUUGACGUACCGAAGAGCCUCACACUCGGCGGCAAUGCACAAAAGGUCAAACUGUGGUACCAAGUCCUCCGUAUCUCCCAGAAGGUUAAUCUCUGACGAGAUUUCAAGUAUACGGGUCGGGCCUCCCGCGUGUACCACCGUACGAGUAAGGCCCUCUUCGAAUAUCCUGACAUCAUCAGGAUCAAGAUCGGAUUCAGAUUCGUAGUCAUCGACCAGGACACAUUUUCCCCUUUCUAUGGCCGAGGAAUAAGCACGACCCGAUCCAGAAGAUGAUGGCCCGCCCAAAGUAGUAACAGCGGCCUCGGGAUUCUGACUCCCCGUCGCAGUAGUCUGUUGGUCAAUCAUAACUGCCGGAAUCUCUAUCGACGGGUUGGUCAUGGUAACCGGCUCUACCUCUGCAGACGGGUUAGCAUCGUCCCCCAUCUCAGACUUUGUCAAGGGGAUGCCACCUUCUAAACAUACCACGACUGAAGGAGCCAUUUCGAACUCCACUCGUCAUCUCUUUGACGGCGCUUCCCCGUCCUCAUCAUGGGAAGACUCCCCCGUUGAGCAGGUAGUAGGAGUCGGAGCCCCAGAUUGAGAAACAAUUUCUGUGCACACGACUACGGCCGUAGAUUCAACUUGAGCAGCCCUUACCGUAGGUCGGACAGCAGACCUUGGUACGGGCCGAGAAGAAGACGUCGGCUGACGAAAUGCAAAUGGAGGAGCCCUCGCCCUUCUCAUUCUCCCUAAUAACGAUAAAAGUCGUAUAAGCAACAAAUCCAAAUUGCAAAGUGAAAAAUAGAAACUGCGGCAAGACUACUCACCAGUAAGGGGCUUACGUCCAUAUUUCUCAUAGAAGGACGACCAUUCACGAACUCCCGCCGUAUGAGGAAGUAUGGCAUUCAACCAUUCGCAGAUAUCGUCAACAGGCGCAAGGGGUAGUCUCGCGGCUGCAAAAGCAAAAACAGUUCAAUACUGCCCAAAGAAAAGCAGUUGACUAUUAUUCCGACAAAAGAUACAAAAAUUUACGUGUAAAGUUCUAUCUCUCGGGGAACCCUGCAGAAUCUGUCACAAGGUGCUCGGUCCGCACAUAAAAGUAGUUUUCGUAUAAAUGAUGAUUGGCUAUAUCAUCCAUCUUCACUACCAGACUCUUCGUCCCCCGAUGGCGUAUGUGAAUCAUCGUGCCUCGAAUGAGUUGAGGGGCGAAAAUGUUGAGCAUGUGUCUCAGAGUGAUCUCCCGACCGGCAAGCUCCACGAACUUGAGUAGCAUGAGGAACAGUUUAUAUAGGUACGACGAAAGUUGAGCCGGACACACCUCGUAGAAAUGGCAAAAAUCUACCACCAAGGAAGGGAGAGGAAGCGUAUACCCGACAAUAAAAGGAUGCGUAGAACGCACAGUAUCCCGGGCGGUAGAAAUGUAUGAUAGCAUCUCGACGGGGUGCGGAAUACCCCACCUAACCUUCAGCUCCGCAAUCGCCGCCUCAUUCAUAAUAGAGGAAAUAGGUUCUGGUUUCUCUCCGGUAGGGCUAUUGAAAUCGGUCCAGGGCUUCCCGGGACGAGGCAAUAUUUCGGCCGCCGUUGGAACCUCCUCAUCCUCUACUACUUAUACUCCUACGGGAACAAGAACAUCAUUUUUCGGUAUCGAAAUUGCAGCAAGAUCGUCAGCGCGGGAAGAAGAACCACCAUUUGUCUCAAUUGAAUAGAAUGAACGAACAAAGGAAGCAAGAGGGAAGACGAAGAUGCCAAUUUCUGACCAACAAGAGAGAAUCGAAAAUCUGAAGUAUCGGGGAAGAAGAAAAUUCGCAAAAUUCUUUUGAUAAAUCAAGAAAGUGUGCCAAUAGAUUGGUGUUUUCUCCCUAUUUAUAAGGAUAUAAAUUCCCCAAGCGGGAAACCCAAGAGUCGCCAAUCAACACUGAUAAGGCAUGAAACGGUUCAAUCCCCAGGAAACGUGUGUCAUAAUGGCAGUAACCACAAAUGACGUUUCAAAUCAACGCAUCAUUUUGACUCCAAAUGGACACGACGAAACAAAGGCAUCAUUGAAGCGUUGCGCCAUCGCCUCGAUCUAAAAACCUCGUUCAAGGCAUGAACAGUCAGAUUUCUCCUAGCCUUCGAAUCUACAAAGUUCGUCUGCCAAGCCCGCCAAGGGACGACCUCGACGGACGGGAGGGACUAACUGUAUGGGUCAAAAUCUGACCACAGUGGUCGACCAAGCUGGGACCUCGCCUAAGCGGCAAAAUGGCAAGAAGCACCACGACCAACCUCAGAUCAAUCAUCGACAGUGCAUGUCAAGUAAAAACGGUACUCGAAUAAAGACGAAAAGACCGUCACGUGAGAGUACGUUGGUCAACGAACACAGUAAAGUUCCGUGAACUAUAUAUAGAAGGGGGGCUCGGACAAUUUCCUCCUUCGAAGGAUAUAAACUGAUAUUUCUCUCUUCAUAUCAAAGAUAGGAUUGUAACAUCAAGAAAUCUAGAAUGUUCCUUUUUUUAUUUCAUUAUCUCGCUAUACAUUUUUAGAUUAUGCUUGGCUAAAAUUUUCCUCUUCUCAUCAUUAAUUGGUUUAGUCAAAUGGUUCAACACUUUUUGGUUAGAUCAUCCUUUUGUUUUAGGAGUAUAUGACAAAAUGUCACUCCAAUUAGCUCUUAAACAGCCAUUAUAUAAAAUUACUUCAAACUGUGAAAUGAAAUGCAAGAAAAGUCAGAAAAGUUCUCUUAAACUGCCGUUACUCUUGGAGACUAUCAAUUCGUGCUGAAACUGAUCAGUAGUGUAAAAUAUUUAUGUCGAAAAAUCUCAAAAAUAUCAACAAUUUGUUGAAGAAUUAACAUUGCAUUGUAGAAUUUAAGUUUGGACUCCAAUCUCUUAAGUAAUGUGUAGUAGUAUGUUUUUGCACUCUCUUGUAUUGUAUACGUUCGCCUAAAUAAUUAAUACGGAUAGAAACUUAUUCUGGAUGAGGCCUUUAUUCGGUUAUAGUCGGUAAACUUAGGGAUGUACAUGGACUGGGUUGGAUCGGUUUAUAUUAAAAUCGAACCAAACCAACUAUAUUGAUUUGCAUUGGUUCGGUUUUGUCUGAUUUUUCGGGUUUUUUCGGGGGGGGGGAGGGUUGUAACAUGAAUAAUUUGCAAUCUUACUUUGUUAAUUUUUUUAUAAGUAAAUAUAUGUUUAGUAAAAAUUUAAAAAGUUGACAAACAUAUGAUCUAUUAAAAUAUUUUUAUGGAAAAAUUUUGUUAAUUACACAUGAUAGUUACUUUUUUUAUUCGUCUGACAAUAAUUUUUCACUGAUGUAUACUUUCAAGGUUAAAUGAAUUUAAUAAUUAAAUAUAAAAAUCAAUAUGAUACCUAAUUAAUGAUAUAUUUUAUUUAAUUUUAGAUUAUCGAAAUACCAUUUCAAAUUCAAAAAAGAUAUAAGAAUUUAAUAAAUCUUGACAUAUGAACAUGGAUGAUGGAAGAACAAAGAGAUUGACGCAUUUCAAUAACACUUGAUAAGAAAGUGAUCAUGUAACCCAUUAUUUGAGGUUAAUAAAAAUGGAGUACUUUAUAUUCUAUUAAAUAUUACAUCCCAUAAGAGAAUCCCAAAUAUUUCUAGAAUUUUUGUAAAGAAAAUUCUAUAUAAAGUCUUAAGAGUAUAUAUAAAAAUGAUAGGAGUAUAUUUAUAUGUCGGUUUGGUUCGAAUUUUUUUACUCAAUACCAAACCAAUCAAAUCAAACCUAAUCUGGUUUUUUAAUCGGUUUGGUUUGACUUUUCGGUUUGGUGCGGUUUUUCGGUUCGAUUUGUACACUCCUAGGUAAACUUUUGUGACUUUACGAUCAUAGCAAAUAAGAUGGGACUUUUGGUAUAUAUAUAUAUAUAUAUAUAUAUAUANNNNNNNNNNNNNNNNNNNNNNNNNACAGAAAUUAACUAAAGUUUUUUACAAAAUAUAUACAAUUCGGUCAAAAUCUACAAUAUAUCUACAACUUAAAUACAAACUUUUUGUAUAGAAUCUGGUCAAAAACUAUAAUUUACAUACAAUUUAUAUAUAAUUUAUAUAUAAUUAUGUUAAUUAUAUAUAUUUUGUAUGUCAUUUCUACAUCCGACAUACAAAAUAUAUACAAUUUGCUUAUGUCUUUUUUUCGAGAUUCAAUCAGAAAUUUCAACCAAAAUCACUUCGAAUCUUCACCAAAUUCUCUCAAAAUUGAGAUACAAAUCUCAAGAAUAUUCCUAAUCAUUUGCCACAACACUCAAUCCAAGCAAAUAACAAUUUCAUCAAACUUGAUUUUCGAAUUCAAAGCUUUAAAACUUUUAAUGGCUUUCAAUGGAGUUUCUUUCCACUACCACAUAUGUCAAUGAAUAGCGAAUAUAAUAAUAUAAUAAACAAAAAUAUAUGACUAGUAGUAUAUAAUUGAACAUUACAAAAAUGAAUAGCGAAUACAAUAAUAUAUAAACAAAAAUUUAUGACUAGUAGUAUAUAAUUGAACAUUACAAAUUAACCCAGAUCAGCAGUUAUUCAAAGUUUCCGUGAUGCUACACAAAGUUAUCAACUUAAGCUUCCAUCGGUAAGAAAGUUCAUAUAAAAAUGGUACAACAAUGCCAAGUACAGAAAUAUAUAUUUGUAUCUAGAAUUUUAAGUAUUAAGAAGAUUUCUCCUAUUUAAUUAAAUAAGAAACAACCUAAGAAGAAGAAAAAAAGUAACUUUGUAUAAGAAACAUCGAAAUAUUGUAUCCUAAAUAUCUACGUAUGUGGGAUUGAGUUGGGUGUAAUGGAGGAAGAAGAGGGAGAAAAAGGAGAAGAUUGGACUCUAAUAUAUUAUUUUGUAUAUAAUUGAUAAAUCGUAUAUCAACUUGUAAUUAAGUUAAAACUGCAAUAGUGAGGAUAAAUAAGUUUUAAAAAUAAUAUAGAUAGGUAAAAAUCACAAAUAAGAUUAAUGUGACAAAAAUAAUUUUAAGACUAUACUAUUAUAAUAAGAAAAAUCAGUGAACAAUAAUACAUGAUAUUAUCUUCAAUAUGGUGAAGCCAAAAGGGAGACAAUUUUGCUGUCUAAUCAAAUUCGAAAUAAACGCUUAAGGCAUUAGUGUGCAAGUAGAGAGCAUUCCAAAAAUAAACCGCAGGGAGCGUAUGAAUACUUGAAUUUUAGCUUUUGAGUCGGUUAUGAGUUAUGGUCAACAACAAUACGAAUUACAAACUUAAAGAUUGUAGAAAUAAAGUGUUAUCGGCAAACGGAUUUGUCAAUAAAGAAUCAGAUGUAGGUCGAACUAAGAAUGUUGACUGUGGCAAGGAACAAAUGAAAUAUUAGUAUAUGAUAACCAAGAAGAUUAUUGAUGGAUUCUUAUUUUCUAUAUAUCUUCACUGCAGUCUAGCUCAUUAAUUCUAACUUUGACAGGACUGACUAUAUGCACGUGAACAUGAUCAUGAGGAUUCUAAUGAGAAGAAUGGCAUUCCCGAAAUGCUCUUGGAUCUUACUAUCUUUCUCACCAAUAUUCGCCAUUUUAUUUCAUCCUUCUUCUUCUGUCUCCUCCUCCUCUGCUUGAAAUUCCUGUUCAAACGUCAAUCUUUCACUCAAUUAAUGCUCAAGGAGGAAGUGGUCGACUUUGCUCUCGUUUUGGUAUAAAGGAAGUUAUUUUUCAAAAAAAAAAAUUGAUAUUUUUAUAAGUAAUUCUUUUUUGGUAUUUGAUUAUCAAAAGAUAAAAAAAGGGCAGUACGGUUGCACUAAGCUCCCGUUAUGUGUGGGGUUUGGGAAAGGGCCAGACCACAAGGGUCUAUUAAGAGGUUAUUUCCACGGCUCAAACUCGUGACCUUCUAGUCACAUAACACCAACCUUACCAAUUACUUUUCCGAAAAAAUAUUUUUCAUCACAAAGAAAAAAUCCCACACUUAUGGAUGGAAGUUAUUUUCCUUUAUAACUGUCUUUAACUUUAACUUCAUAUUAUCUAUUUCAUCUAACACUUGCACACAAAUAUUAAUCUUUAAUAUUCAAAAUUUCAUCAAAACAUUUAUUUCGAUUAGCUAAUAUUAUUAUUAAUCUUUAAAAUAUAUAAUUUUUCAAAAAAUAUUUUUCAUUCACUAAGCAAAUAUUCUACUGGUAUCAGGCAAAAGACAAGCCCACAAACCUGCAUAAAGGAACUCUACAAAAAUCCGAAUCAGCACAGAGGCGAGAAUGCAGUUCCAAAACUUGCCACAUUCUCUUGCAGUUUUUGCAGCCACCAUAAACUCUCAUCUUACAUCCAGCAAAGUGACGAAUGAGCAAUUCUAGCCCUUUACAUGCUGAAUAUUUACAAGGUGUUUGAUCUUUUUUCAAGACCUUAUCGCAUGGACCAAUGGUUCGACAACCAUCUUUGCAUAUGUGAACUAGAGCCUCCAUUGCCUCGUAUAGUUGCAUAUACACUUUUCUCUCGUUGAUUUUUCUCAUUCUUUCCUUCUUCCUCUGCAAGCAAAUUAGAAAAGAGUUCAACUACAGAACACUGACAUGACAGUAUAAGGAGAUUAUGUUAUUAAUUAUCAGGUAUAACUACAAUUAGUUGUCUAUAAAAAGUGGAAUUAUAUAGUAAUAACCUAAAAAUAAGACAGAUUGAUUUAAGCUAUAUUCACCACAGCGUAAACAAAUUUUACACUAUAACGCAAUUUAACAGGUUAUAGUAGUAGGUAAUUACUCUACUUUCUGAGUUACUAUAGCAUAAUAGAUAUAAAGAAUGACACGCAUGGGCGAAGCUACAUGUUAUAAAGGGUGGUCAACUGACCACCCCUCGUCCGAAAAUUAUACUGCGUAUAUAGGUAAAAUAUUAAUAUUUUAGGGGUAUAUAACAUAUAUUGAACACUCUUUCUUGGAGAUUUUUUUUCACUUCUUUCAAGUUUGAACACUCUUGAGUAAAUUCAUGGUUUCGCCACUGAUGACAUGUUAUUAUAAGUCAUUGUGAUGGUGUAAGCAAUUGAUAUAUUGCGAGUGUGCAAAACUUAAACUACCUAAUAAAACAGGUUAAAAGACACUGAUAGAAUGAACAAUUUUUUGACGGUCAAUGUAAAUCCAGUUAGAGAGAAAAAAAACAUAAACAGGAUUGACAUCAUUUAGGAUUCAACUUACAAUAUCCUCAUCAGUUACAGAUUUAAAAAUCUGUUUUUCAAGCACAGGGUGGCUUUUUUUCAUGGCUUCCCAUCCUUGUGAGGAAGAUAUAGCCUUGAAAUGUUUCAACAUAAAACGGUGACAAAAGAGGCUAAGGCGAGGGGCAUCACAUAAAAGUGCAAGCUGAAAGAUGUCAACCACAUUGUCCGUAGUUAUCAAUCCUCGCUCCAGCAGCUGCCGCUCACAUUCUCGCUUUAGAUGGGGGACUACAUAUGCAUGUGAGAGCAUCAAUAGAUUCAGUGCAUGUUCCUGCAUUUUGUCUUCUUCAUAGCUGCAUAGUGCAAUUGACAUUUAGAGAUAAUCAUGAAAAGGCAGAUGCAUAGUGAUAUAUUUGAAGGAGAAUCAUUUUUACCUGGAAGAAUACAAGAAUCGGAUGAAAACUUGAACAGAUUCGGGUGGAACCCCACGUAUAGAGAUUGAUCGUCGAUGGCCUCGUGACUGUUUCGAGUUCAACAUGCUUCUGAAUACAGGAGAAGACAUACCCUGAAAUUAAAGAAUCAAUGUGUAGACUUUCUUGAGUUUAAGUUGCAUACAGAGACGAUAUAUAAUUUAUUUACACAAUUAAGUGUAAGAAUCUACCCUAAAGAUGACUGGAAUUACACUAAUGAGUGUAAGAUUUAGAUUAAUUCGAACAACUAGGAUUGAAUCUCGAAUUUACCAGAAUAGUAGCAUGUGCAUAGAUGAUGCCACCAUUAUCUGUAUUAAUUGAGAGAUCAGCUCUGUAACCUUCAUCAAAGAGGCAAUCCCACGUAUUCUUCGUAGCACUAAAAAUGGAGCAGUGUCGUCUUCUUCGCAUUGGUGAUAUGAACCUGCUCUCAUACAAGUUAGUUGGCAAUGGAGGCGGAUUUGGUACUGUUCUUUCACAAGGAAAUUCCUCAUUCCUCCGAUCCAUUUGUUGAUCUUGCCUUCUGCAACAUUAUGAAAAGAAACAACUGCAGUUAAUGGUGAGUUGCUUAACGACAAGUGUUUACAGAAACAACCCCGUCCCUCGGUGUGAACCGAUGGCCACGUUGCUUUAGCCGAAUGUGUCAAGUCGUGCCCUUGGCACUAUUACUUUGAAAAGAUUAGAAUGCUCAAAAAAAGCCUAGUGUCGUAUACACCAUAGGAUAUUAGUCCUAAUGAUUUGUUUAAAAUUAGGCAGCAGGUGGAUUAGUAAUCCGUAGGUGAAACUCUUGAAUUUAUGAAAGACGAACAGCUAGAAAUGCAGUAACACCAAGAUGUUUUAGCUAACAAAGAGUUGUUGACCAAAAAGAUUUAGACCUUUUGUUGAACCAAUUAGAUGAGAAAAUUUUAUGUAAAUCCUAGCCAAGAAAAUUUAUCCUAGAUCUAAAAUAGAAGAUAUGAUUAAGCAAACAAUGCAAGCAUAAGAUUUAACUAUAACUUCGAGUAAAUCCCAUUAUAUAAGAAGAGGAUGAUGGUUUUCAUAAUAUUAAACAACAAUAAAGAAUACAUAGAUAAAAAUGGUCACCGAUCUUUAACAAGGUAGAACCACAUACAUUUGAUAUAAUGAGACUAACGAUAUAUAUUGAGGAUCUGAGCUUCUUUGCUUCUUCCUCCUUUGUGGGAAGAGAGAGAUGAAGAUCCCUCUUCUUCUCAGUGUAGAUUUGUUUUUCUGUGUAGAUUUGUUUUUCUUUUCUUUUUUGGCUUCUUCUUCUCACUUAGUUUAUAUACUAGGUCUUCUCGUUACCCAACAAUCAUUAAUCAUAGUACUUAAAUCGUUUGAUUAUAUUACAGGUUGACCCUUUGAAAUGCCAUAACAUUCGCGUUCUGAAUUGCGUAUCGUUAUAGCGUUGUAUGAAUACGACUUUGGCCCAAGUAACUCUUUGUCGUCUCUUUAAACGUUGAUUCUUGUCUGGUCGGAUUUUGACCCAUACAAGAGUAAGAAUCAAAUAUAAUUUGCUGUAGUAUAUAUUACCUUGUUGUGUACCAAGCUGAAGACAACACAGCCAACAAAGAUGAAGAAACUGGACUGCUUUCGAGUUACUUGGUUCACUUCCCAGUUCCCCUCUCUAAUCCACCAAGAUUUUUUGUAAUGGUAGAAAUUAUGUACUACACAUCAAAUAUAAUAUGCAUUGCAGCUGUCAAAUGCCAGCUUCUUCUUAUAACUAUUAAAAGCUCGAGCUCAAAUGAUUGUUGGGUUGAUUAUUUAAAGGCAAAAGGAACGAUCCAAUUUGAUUUGGUGAACAAGUUGAGACUACAAGUUAUAUGUAAGACUUUAAUGAUAUGAUAUCCGUGUCAGAUCAAAUGCAAUGCCAAUAUUUUGGUAUCUCUGGCCCUGUCGAGUAUGUUAAACGUGCGGUGUUUUAAGCCAUCAGUGGUCAAUUUCCUUUGUAUUUUUCUGUAUUUUGUUUUUUUCAUUACAAUCCAAAUUCAGUUGUUGCACGCGAUUCACGCCUUUGCUCUCUCGCAAUUAUUACACCUACCAACACACUGUUCUUUCCAAAUUAAGAAGUAGUAUGAUUUUAUUUGAUUUGAUAACAGCUGGUUAGAUCAAUAAAUACCUCUACUUAUCACUUGCUAUCUUUUAAUCACAAACUAAAUAUUAAAAAAUUUGUUAAAUUAUCGCGAAAAUCCCCUGUUUUUCGGCUUGGAGUUAGCUAUACAUUGUUGCAAAUAGAUUUAAAAUUUGUAACCAAAGAAAUUAAUGUCUUUAUUUUCCAAACAAUUGGGUCAUUGCCUUUUAGGAGGAGUACAAAACUUGCAUUUGGAAUGUACAUAUUCUUUAAAAGCACUAUGCAGACCACCAAAGGGCUCGAAAGCCCUGGGAAUGAAAAAAUAAUGGCAGAGAGUGAUUCCCCUUCCAUGAGCUUUACGUGGUGCGAAUCCAAAUUAAUCGCGACCCUAAUACGAAUACCUUACAACGGGGUGCGAACCAAAAAAUAAAGCACAAAAGAGUACAAGGAAACAAAAAAGACGUAGAUUAUCUUGGUGGAAUGAAAAAGAUUGGUGAGAUUAUCAAUAUCAUAGGCACAUCACAUAGGCUUGAAAACAUACGAGACUUGGAGAAAGAAUGAAUAGUAUGCCUACAUCUAAAUACUUUCUGUUGGGUGUUUCUUAAUUUCAAGGGAUAUAGUUAAUUUAAAACGAAAUAAUAUUCCAAUCGGUGGACGGAGAAAUAACACAGCAAUGUGCUUAUGAGCUAAAACCAAGCGAACUAAAUGACUAGACUAUUAUAGCAUGUGCAAAUAUAUGCGAAAAAAACUUCACCUACUUGGCAAUAGAUAAAACAGUGAUAAACCAUAUAUAUAUAUUGAACAAAAACUUAAAGCAAAACUAUGCUCAUGAUCAGCAGUUAAAAUGGGCAGUCAACAGACUAAUUGUUUGAAAGAGCAGCAUUGUUUCUAUGCACUGAAAUUGAUGUAAACUACAAGAAGUUGCUUUACAAGCUUGAGCAUGACAUCCUAAGCCCCAGAUACUUUUGUUUCUUCAAUACAAAGAAAACUAGGGAAAUAGAAGAAAAGCUGGUAUCUUACAACUGUGUUAGUGAUGCUACAAUGCACCAAGAAUGGUCACUUCUUUUCCUCCUAGUUGAGGCAAGAGGUUUUUGUGCUACCACUUAGAGUGAGUUACUAUGAACAGCUCCUCCUUCAAGUGAUUGUACAAAAUAUCUGGCACCACUACUUCAUGAACUUC
Molecule: long non-coding RNA, 21451 nt
Filed under: Nicotiana tabacum (common tobacco)
Lineage: Eukaryota; Viridiplantae; Streptophyta; Magnoliopsida; Solanales; Solanaceae
Description: long non-coding RNA (NTAB_LNC016405)
Source: RNAcentral